AGAUUGUAGAGGUUGUUCUGUUCUGGACUUCAUCAUGUUGUCUCUGCGUGUGGCUGAACUGGUCCUCAUCACUCUGCUCACUGUUCUUCUCUUCAGAGCUCGAGGGAACCAGAGACCUCCUGAUGAUAUCACUGUGCGUUAUGAUGGAGAUGACGACACAGUGAACUAUGAGAACGCUGGAGAGCCUUCUGCUUCAGUCAGACUCCACUGAUCAACAUCUUCCACGCCUUCAAUUUACCAGACCAAUGAGUCCACUGCUCUUAAA
This is a long non-coding RNA of Notolabrus celidotus (New Zealand spotty), 265 nucleotides long. RefSeq lists it as uncharacterized. The record is from RefSeq and is a predicted model, not a curated record. NCBI's taxonomy places the organism in Eukaryota, Metazoa, Chordata, Actinopteri, Labriformes, Labridae. The transcript is spliced from 3 exons.